CCCAUGAGUCCCUGGGCGGCCGUGGGGUCAAAGGUCUCGUCGGCGACAGUGUCGGGGGACGGGUGCCCAGGCGACGCUUGUCCUACUUAGUAACGGCCCCCAAGCACCGGAGGAGCUUGGCCGGCGGUUCUGGGGCGCGGGAGAGGGGACCCAACUGCUUCCUUUAAGGAAAAGGCGCCCGUCCGGGGCUUGGGGAGCAAAGGAGUGACGCGGCGCCGAGGUCGCGGGGAGCCGCCCUAAGAGCGCACCUGCCGACCUGACACUGGGACGCAGGAGGAGGACACGCCUGCUGGGCACACCUCAGACCCGAAAGUUACAGCCCAGCGGAAGGCAGCAAAGCCGCCUUCUGUUUUGUGAGCAGAGUCGCUGCUGAGGUCACCUGCCCUGAAAGGGGGAUGGAGCAUCCAGCUGUCCCCAGUAAUUACAGCCGGAGUCAGGGGCAGAAGGCGCACUCGGGAACCCCCUGUGUCACAUUCCUGGUGCCUCCGCACGUUCAUGCACAGAGACGUCAAAGACGCCUGCAUCCCACACAACUAAAGCCGGCGUCGGUGCCCAGAGGAAACGUGAUGUCUUUGCUGAAGAUGAAGAUUCCCCUACAGCCCUGUUUGCUCCAAACACAGCUCUUCCUGGCCAAGGUUCUAUAGUUCUCCAAUUUUACGUGUUGCCCUUGGACAUUGAAAACAAUCGUUUUCCGUGCAAAGAAACCCGGUCUUGGAGAGUUUGAGUGACAUGCCCAAGGCCAUGCAGUUCAUUUGGUCUGGAAGGCACUUCUCAGCAGCCAUGCUGAAGAGGACAGGGACAGGCUGACACCCGUUCAGAGGACAGUGAUGUGGCCACCACGCAGAGCAGCUCCCUCCGCGUGACUCGUGGUUGAAGGCCCAGAACGCCCUGUGCGGGGAGGUGACAGAUGCUGUUUCCGCAGCCCCGCCGUCUCAGGAAGAGGGAGGCCACCGCUUGCCACGAUGAGUUGAAAUGAAUCCAGCUACACGGAGCUGGAAGAAGACCUUUCUUGGGUGCCUUUUCAGUUAUGAGGAAGGACAUUCUGAUGUGAAGAGCUGUCUAGAGACGGCCCGGGGUGCUUCUGGACAAGGGGGCCUCUAACUUCUCCAUUUACAAAAGAACUCGUUCGCUUUGCAAACUUGCUGAAGGUUGCUGGCUGUACACGGGUCCAGCAGUCAUGGCUCCCAAGACCAAAGGCCGGAUGGCGCUCCUAGGCUGCCCCUGAACUGCUUGUGGCUUCUGGUCCGAAGAGCUUACAGCAUUGUUUGCCAUCCACUUGUUCCAAGAUCCAGGCACUGCUGAAACCAUAGCCCAAGGACACUUCCAAGAACUAGACAAAAGGCAGCGCUGUGUCACCUCCAGUCCUAAGGCCGCUGAUGGAGGAGUUAAGGCAGAACCAGGACGGCGUGGGGAGGUCAGGAAAGUGAAAUCUCCAUCGGCUGCUACGGCAGAUGAAUCGGGAACGGAUAAAACCCAUUGAUCACGAAUGAGGGGUUCAGAAAAUCUGUGUUUUUAGAUACGCGGAGGUCGCUGCCCGAAGCAGCUGCCUGCAGAGUUCAGAGCAGCUGCCUCUUGAGGAGUGGAGCUGGGUGGGGAGUGCGGGCGGCAGGGCGGUCUUGCUUUCAGUUUUAAGUGCUUCUUGUUAUUUUCCUUUUAAACAUGCUCACACGUUGCUUUAGUGAAAAUGUACACACAUGCGUGCGCACACACACACACAUGCACGCAGGCCUCUGGCUCCGGUUCUGAGUGAUGCUAAAUGGUUUUCCAAUGUGGGUAGAGCCUGCAAAACAGUCUGCAGCUGGACCGUGCUCUCCCCAGGGGCCAGAGCAUUUGCAAUAGUCAGAAAACGCCUCUGCCUUUGGUCUGCUCCCCCCCCCACCCCCCACCCCGUCACCAACCCCGGUCUGACUCUGACGAUGUCCCCCCCCCACCCCCCGCCGCUUUCCCCCAGCUUAUGUUCUCCUCUUUCCUCAUAAAAAGUUAUUGGAGCUCUCAGAAUAUUAGAACAUGAAUUUUUCUGUGAUAUAAAGAUUUAGCUGAACACUGAUUCUAAAAGGGAUAUGCAUUUUUUAUUUGGAAACUCCCUUGCACCAGGGCAGCACUUCCCAAAGAGGUAGCAUGUGGGAUGUUUGACCAGCCGUGGGAGAUGGAACCACAAGCCAGUCGUGAGAAACCUCCUACCCAGAGUCUCCGGCGCUUUUCUCUAGCUCUUGUUGACACUGAAUGAUACAGACAAAGAAAUGGAUUUCUCUUUUACCUCCGCAAAACCCCUUGCAGGUGCGUCCAACCUCCAAAGCGUUCCCUGAAGCAUCCUCUCUUUUGUCUUGUGGGGCCACAUGUCGGCGUUUUUCUUUUCCACUUCAAAACCAGAGUUGUUCUGUUAUUGCCAAACUGAAGGUACAGGGUAGCAAAAGGACAUGUUUUUCACACCCAGCUCCCGGAAGGGUGGAGGGCCAUCGUGGACCAAGUGCCAGAAGAAUGUGCUUUGUCCCGGGGCAGGGGCUUAGCAGCACCCUCCCGGAGAAACCAGGAGCUUUCUGGGAGGUCCCAGAAGUGCGACGUCUGUCAGCUAUGCCGAUGCAGACACAGGUCAGAAGACCAGCUCCUGGCGUGGCUUCCAGGGCUGUGAGGGCUCUGCUGUGGUCUGAUCCAAGCUGGCAGGAUUCUCUGAUAGGUGUCUGGGUUUUAAGGGGAUGAGAUAGUGGCACUCACUUGGCAGAAAGUUCAAAUCCGUAGAAAGAGCCGUAUUUUGCUGCCCGGAGAGUUGGGACAGGCUUUGUAGAACCUUUACUUUCCUUUGACUUAGGCGUCCUUGUCUUUGUUUUUUUAUCCCUUUUUUCCCUCCAGCUGGAGUUCUAGUUUUUGCUUUGGACUGUAUUUGGGGUGGUUGGAAAAGGUUGAACCCUGGGUGAAUAAUCCUCAGAAUGUUUAGUACCUUGGCACUCCUAAUUGGGCGAGCUUUUCUUGGUAACUUUCAUCAGCAAUACCCUGAUAUUCCACUCAGAUUCCAAGAGAGGGCGGUUCUGUUCCCCCAAGGUCUGGGCAUCUCAUUUUCACGCAGCUAAAUCCAAAAGUCCCAAAUAUCAUGGGACUGGGCUCUGUUGCCGGCAGGACGCCCACCUUCGGGAGUCAGGAGGGGACAGUUGUGUCAGUAUGUGCCGAGCUUUGCUUCGGAGACCAGAACCUGCAGGUCGUAUUCCCACAGGGCUCCGAAGCCUCCGCCUAGACUUGACUCUGCGCCAGGGGAAUACAACCCACUUUUUUCCCUGAGGGAAUUUAGUGUUUCUUUCUGGAGCCACAUUUUCUCUGGUGCUCUGACUCUUACAUCUGUCUCCAGCCCGGGCUACGCCCAACACAUUGCUGCCACAUUUCCAGAAAGAAUUGCGUGUGUCUGAGAACAUCCAUGAGGCUGAGCGCCACGCGCCGUGCGUGGCCGCCCCCGUCGCUAGAAGGGUGCGCUCUGGGCAGCCCUGGCUGCAGCUCGCGGCCUCAUCAAACACAGACCCAAGGACUUCUGCCCCUAGAGCUGGUCCCCAGCUACUUUAUUUUAUUUUAUUCUUACGGCCAC
Sus scrofa (pig) is the source of this 3568-nucleotide long non-coding RNA. RefSeq lists it as uncharacterized. Lineage: Eukaryota; Metazoa; Chordata; Mammalia; Artiodactyla; Suidae. The record is from RefSeq and is a predicted model, not a curated record.